AAAUCUACUCCCCCAUCUCCAAAGGGUGUCUCAGUCUUUGGCUAAAAACUCAUUAAGACCCCACCCCCUACCCCUUACCCCCAACCCCACAAGCAAAAUUCUCUCAUAUUGCGAACCUAAGCUUGUUGUCUUCUUGAAAUUUUACAUCCAUUUAUAGGGGAUUCAAUUCUUUUAGUGGAAUACACGUGAGGUUGCUGAAAUUUCAGUACGUGUUUGACUUUAGCUGUAAUCGAACAAAGGAGAAUGUUGUGUUCUAUAUGAAGGAAUAGGAAGUGAACUUGGAUUUAAGAGAAGAAAAUUAUGUAUCGGCCUGUGGCAACUACUACCCGAGGCGGAGUACCUACUGAUAGUGGAGAUUCUGUGGUGACACUGGACCAAGUUCCACGUUGGAUUGAUUCUGACAUUAGGUACUUGUACGAGAAUGAAGAUCCGAAUUCCGACUAUGCAGAUCCUUUGUCAUCUGUUUCAGGGUCUGAGGGCAAUGCAAAUGGUAUCGUUUCCAAGUUUCCCGUGGAUCAUGAGAUUAACUCCAAGAUAUACCUGUGGAGAGGAGACCCCUGGAAUCUCGAGGUGGAUGCUGUUGUUAACUCUACAAAUGAGAAUUUAGAUGAAGCACACAGUAGCCCUGGAUUGCAUGCUGCAGCUGGACCUGGUCUUGCAGAAGAAUGUGCUACUCUCGGAGGCUGCCGGACAGGAAUGGCAAAAGUUACCAAUGCUUAUGAUCUUCCUGCUAGGAGGGUCAUUCACACUGUUGGUCCAAAGUACGCGGUAAAAUACCACACUGCUGCUGAGAAUGCUCUAAGUCAUUGCUAUCGCUCUUGCCUUGAACUUCUUAUAGAAAACGGGCUACAGAGCAUUGCAAUGGGUUGUAUCUAUACCGAAGCUAAAAGCUAUCCGCGGGAACCAGCUGCUCAUGUUGCAAUAAGAACUGUACGACGGUUUCUUGAGAAACAGAAAGAUAAAAUAGAGGCAGUCGUUUUCUGUACGAAUACGUCAUCCGAUACGGAGAUAUAUAAGAGAUUGCUUCCUCUCUACUUCCCUCGGAAUAAUCAUGAGGAGGAAAUUGCCCGGUUAAAACUUCCUGCAGAUGUUGGGGAUGAGAAUGGAGAGACUACUACAGCUGAACGUAAAAUAAGAAUAAAACCUUUGCCAAAUUCAAAAACCUCUAGUCCAAAGACCCCCCAAGCUUCUGUUGAUCUAUCUGCCAGUAAUGUUGGUUUGUCCAGAAGGAGUUCAUCCUACUUGGAUUCAUUUUUGGAUCCUGCUUUUAUGUCCCUGAUCAAAGACCCAGAUCAGCGUCGUAGAGAACAAUGGGAAAAAACAGCCCAAGCACAAAAUAGUUGGAACUGCUUUAAAAUGCUUGGAUAUGGUGACCUUGGGGGACCUGCUUUAUCAGCUGCAGAAGAAUAUACCCUUCAUUCUAGAUAUCUUGCAAAAGCGAACUCUCUGAAUCUUUCAGAAAUCGCGGAAAUGAAAAUCGUUUACCGAGGAGGGGUUGAUAGCGAGGGUCGUCCAGUUAUGGUAGUCGUGGGAGCACAUUUCUUGCUAAGAUGUCUUGAUCUUGAGAGAUUUAUUCUGUACGUUGUAAAGGAGUUUGAGCCUUUGAUUCAGAAGCCUUACUCAAUAGUGUAUUUUCACUCUGCAGCAUCUUUACAGAUGCAACCAGAUCUGGGAUGGAUGAAGAGAUUACAACAAAUACUUGGACGGAAACACCAGCGUAACCUUCAUGCAAUAUACGUUCUUCAUCCUACUUUUGGACUGAAGUCUUCAAUCUUUGGUUUGCAACUCUUUGUCGAUAAUGUGGUGUGGAAGAAGGUAGUAUAUCUUGAUCGUCUUCUACAGCUAUUCCGCUAUGUUCCUCGUGAACAACUAACGAUUCCAGAUUUUGUAUUCCAGCAUGAUUUGGAAGUGAAUGGAGGUAAGGGCCUAAUAGUGGAUCCAAGAACAAAAUAUGUUUAUCAGAGACCUUAAUGUCCAUAUCCAUAAGAGCUUCAACUCAAAGAUCCAUCAGUUAAACCAGCUAUGGAAGAUGCAUUAAGUACUUCGUCCGGCUCCAAAACAAACACAGUUUGACGCUCAACAUGCAUCUCAGAGAUGGAAAUAAUUCUAGUGAAGGAUUUUCCUAUCUUAUCAUCCCAGACAGUGUGGGCUACAAAAGGGAGAGGGGAUACAAAAAUUUUGCAGACCUUCCUUUGCUAGAGCAUCUACUACCUUGUUUUGUUCUCGGUAACUAUGCUGGACCGGAGGUCUUCCUAGCCUUUGAAGCAUCAACCUGCAUUCAUGAAUAAAGGAGUUAAAUAGGGCAUUCUUAGAUUUCAACAUGAUGAUUAUGUCUUCAGGAUCAAUAUUAAUUAUAAUGGGAGUUAAGUUAUGUUGCAGGGCUAGUUGAAGGCCCUUCCAAAGGGCCAAAAAGCUCCAGUUAUUAGUAGCAUGGAGGAAAGAUUGAGCAAAGCCCAGAACCCAAUCACCAUUAGCAUUGCGAAUCACACCACCAAUACCUUCUUUACCAGGAUUACCAAGACUAGAGCCAUCAGUAUUAAGUUUAAAGUAAUGUCUAGGAGGGGGAAUCCAACUUAAGUGAAUGGUGAUAGGUUUUUUUGGAAUAGAGUUUGAGCAUAGUUGGAAAAAUUCAACAGCUUCAGAGUAGGCAGAUUUGAAGAAGGUGGGGGAGGAUCUAUUAUUGAAGAUGUUGGAGUUUCUAUUCCUCCAUAUGUUCCAGAGGCAGAAGGGUAAGAGAGUUGACCAAUUGAGUAGAUGGUUAAAGUUGGAGUUCUUAAAAAGCAUCCAGGUUGAAUUCCAGUUUGUAGGAUGAAACAUGUGAGGAUUAAUGUCAUGAUCUCCCUGGUAAAACUGGCCAAGUUCAUGCCAAAGAGAGUUGGCAUAAGGACAACUGAAAAAGAGGUGAGGGAUGUCUUCAAGUUGAUGAGAGCAGAGAUGGCAGUAGAGGGUUAUGUGGAUCCCUCUAUAACCAAAGAUGGGGUUUAGGGGAAGGCUGUUGUGGUGAAGAAACCAGAGGAAGAAUUUAAGCUUGUUAGGCACAGAGAGCUUCCAAAUCCAACCAAAAGAAAAGGGAUUAGGAGUAUAAGUUUGGGUCAUAGAUACCAGAUACUUAUAAACAGAUUUGCAAGAGAAUAAUCCAUUUCCAGUGAGGGUCCAGAGGGGGGUGUCAACAGCAAUGAGAGGGUCAGGCCUAAACAAGUUGUACAUGCUAAGCUGAAGAUCUCUAAGAAUAUAAAAAAAUAGGAAAUGAAAGGUCUAAUUUCUAUUCUACCAGAAAAAGAAGAGUUUGAGAGAAUGGGUAGGAUGAGGAAUAAGGCCUUGGAUGAUAGAUCUCAGGAGGGGAUGGCAAGGGAUCCAUCUAUCCUUCCAAAUAUCAAUGUUGUGGCCAUUGUAAACAGACCACUGGAUAAUCCCUUUACGAAGGGACCAUGCUUUAUGGACAUUUCUCCAGGUUCUAGAGGAAGAGGAGGAAAACUUUCCCCUGGAAUGCCUUCUCUGGAGGACUCUAGCCCAUAAGAAGAAAGGAUUGAAGUGGAGUCUCCAGGAUAGGAUACAAAGGAGGGUGUCUUCCUUAAUGUGGGCCUGUUGUAUGCUAAGGCCACCCAUAUGCUUGGGCUGAGUGAUGGUAGCCCAAUUAACCAUAUGCAUCUUCCUUCUUUCUAUAGUGAAGCCCCAAAUGAAAUCCUUUGGGCCCUAUCAAUUCUAUUAUGAAUCUUUCUAGGAAGCAGAAUGUAUCGCAUGACAUGACUGGAAAUACUGCUAAGACAGACUUUAGCAAGGGUGGUCCUCCCUACCAUAUUCAAAAACUUGACUUUCCAACUUGCAAGUUUAUUACUGAUAUUAUCAAGGAUAAAUUGAAAGUCAGAAAGCUUAUGCCCACCCUGAAAGAUGGGGAAGUCUAGGUAUCUAUCAAAAGUAUUGCUAGCUUUUAUGCCAAGGAUGGAGGAGAGGGAGGUUUUGGUGGAAUGAAGAUAAUUCGAGGAGAACAACACUUUGGAUUUCUCCACAUUUACCUUUUAAUCAGAAAAUGUGCUGAAAUUAUGGAGGGUCUUAACCAUGGUAGCAUAGUUGAGCUAGUCAGUUCUAGCAAAAAGAGUCAAGUCAUCAACAAAGAAGAGGUGGCAUAUCGUUGGCCCCCUGUGGUUGAUUUGGAUGAGGUGACAUUGUAGAGUAUCAACUUCAUAAUUGAUUCUUCUGGACAGAAGUUUCAUACAGAGUAUGAACAAAUAGGGAGAAAGGGGGUCCCCUUGUCUUAUACCUCUUGUAGGUUGAAAACUUGGAGUAUGACUUCCAUUAACAAGGAUAGAGAUGGUGGAAGAAGAGACACAAGACAUGAUAAUAUUAGAGAGUCUAGGGGGUGAAGUUGAAGAAAAAUAGGGCUUGUCUAAUGAAGGACCAUUCUAGCCUAUCAGCAACCUUCUCAAGAUCAAUUUUUAGGAUCAUGUGUGGGGUUAAACCUUUCAUUUUCCUGAAAUGAUUAAUAUACUCCUGAACUAUAAUUGCAUUAUCAGAGGAUCUUCUCUUGUACAGAAAACUGGCUUGAGUUUCUCCAAUGAGGGAUUGCAGAAAAGGCUUAAUUCUAUUAGCAAUAAUUUUAGUGAUAAUUUUGUACUGAGUAUUACAAAGACCAAUAGGUCUAAAGUUCUUGAAGCAGUUGCAUUUUUGCAUAAGCCCAUUUGAGAAAGUGUUAGUACAAAAUUAUAAGAGGAGAGAAACAAAGAUAUCCCAAAACCUUUGGUACAUGAAGGGGUGCAUACCAUCAGGCGGAGCUUUAAGAAGUUGGAAAGAGAAGAAAAUAUUCUAAUUUCAGCUAAGAAAGGGAUAGAGUCUGGGUGAGACUGGCCAGAGGAAGGAGCAGAGCAUGUCAGGAAGGGGUUUCUCUGGUAUUUAAGAUGAGCUGGGAGAUGAUCAGUCUUGAAAAGAGAAGAGUAGAAGGAUAAGAUGACAUCUUUUAUACCUCUUGGUCAUGGAUUAAAACACCCUGAUCAUGAAGGGAGAGAAUUUUGUUCCUUCUUCUUCUGUUAAGGGUGGAGGUGUGAAAGAACUUCGUAUUCUGAUCACCAUCCUUGAGCUAAUUUAUCCUAGAUUUUAACAUUCAAAAAUCUUGUUCAUCUCUUAGGAUAGAGCUAAAUUGAAUGGUGAGCUCAGUCUCUAAGUUUUAAAGGAAAGAACUAAUAGGGUAGUGAGGAGAUUUUUAGAUUCCAGCUAGCCUAGCUAACGAGAUUUUCUUAUUGUGGAAGAUAUUGCCAAAAGAGUUUCUAUUCCAAGCAGUGGCAGUGUUAACAAAGUCUAAAGUGGCUCUGGUGAGAUUAGAAUUAGUAGGAAAGGAUUGAGCCACUAGGUGAGGACAAUCAGAAUGAUUACACCAUAUAGAUUCAACUCUGAAAGGUUUUGGAGUAGUGAAAGGGUUUCUAGCAAAGGUGAGAAGUAGGGGGAGUGAUCAGAGUGGGUUCUGGGGCAGUAGAGGAUGAAAGCUUCAGGGUAAAGGUGGAUCCAAUGAUCAUUGACUAAACAUCUAUCAAGUAUUUCUAAGAUGAGAUGAUGUUUGUUCCUCUACCUCAUAUUUGACCAAGUAAACUUACUACCUCUAAACCCCAAGUCAAUGAGGUUGUAGUGAUUCAAACAAUCUCUAAAAAUAUAAGCCCUAUAAUAAUUAAUACUAUUACCCCCAAAUUUCUCAGAAGCAUUCAAUAACUCAUUAAAGUCACCACCUAUAAGCCAACUAGUUCCAUCGAGAGUAUAAAGAGAAUUAGCAAAACACAUCAAUUGAUCCCAAAGGGUUUUUCUAAGGGAGAAAAUAUUGCUGGCAUAAAUAAUACUAAGAAUCCAACAAGAAGGAGGAGAACUUACCUUAACAGUGGCAUGAAUGUCUUGGGUAUAGAAAUCUCUUUUAUGGAAAUAGCAUUAUUCUUCCAAAAAAUGACAAUCCCACUCAAGGAGCUAGUAGCAGAGGAUUGAAUAAAAUAAGGAAAGCCCAAUUCAAUAGCUAAGUCCUUAUGUUCAGCCAUCCUGGUCUCUAGAAGGGCAAGCACCGAAGAUUGAUGUAUGCCUAUGAGGGAUUUGCAAUGACCCUUAAAUUCAGCAUUUUUGGCACCCCUAGUAUUCCAUAUUAGACAAUUAUUCAUGAGUAGAGGUUGUUGGGUUUCCUGAAGGAUUGAUUUCUCUUUCCUCGAAGGGGCUGAAGGGCUGGGUAGCUCCAAUCUUUUUCUUUUCCCGGAGAAUGAGGAGAUCUUGAUAUUGCAUGGAUCCCCUAUCAUAGGGUUUAAUAGACCUAUUCCUAUUUCUACCCUUGAUAUAUCCAGAGGGGGGAGGACAAUAACUAGUUCUUGAGUAGCCCCUCGAAGACCAGGUUUACAGGUUUUUCCAAAGUGAGAACAACCGUUCAGGGUAUUCUCAGUUGGUCAAGUAGAGCUUCCAUUUCCACGUUGCUUUCUCUGAGAGCUUAUAGUGUUUUCUCUCUUUCCAGGGCUUCUAUGCUCAGAUGAGGAUUUGAAGGGGGUGGACUCUUGGAGAUCACAUUUAUUAAGAAGGGGCCCUCCCCAUUGAGCCUCACAAAAUGAGGUCCCGCUGCCAGAAGAGUGUGGUUUGGUAGGGGAAAGAAUGGGAGGCUCGAGCUAGUGAUCAUCUCUGUGAUGAGUGAUGGGUUGAGGUCCAUCUGAAAGGAUGGGUGGAGAAUUUACAUGAGAGUGGUCAUCCACACAUUUGGACCAAAGUUUUGGAGUCCCUGGUUAAGGAACUCCAUGGCUAUAAGAGCUAAGUAAUGCAGGUCUUGCAGCAGAAUUAUGACUUGAGUUCCCUCCCACUAAAAGUGGAGAGGGAUUGAUUGGCUUACUAGACAAACUUUCAUCUAGGAUGCUGGCAUGUGAGAGAGAGGAAGAGGGGUUGUGGUGAUAGUGACCAUGUUCGGGAUAGAGGUGCUCAUUGUGCUCAAGGGAAGAACAUUGCAUAGCAUCCCCAUUAGUGGUAUUAAGAGGUUGAAGGGGAAUGUGAAGAGCCUCUGUCUUGGAAAACAUAGUGGCAUUAACUGCCUUGUCUAUGGAAUGAUUAUUGGCUAUCAAAUCACUCUGGGAAGAGGAAGAGAUUGACAACAUGAGUGGAGGAUUACGAAGCUGAGGGGUAGUAAUCAUUUGAUGAGGGAUGGGUCCCAUGGGGUAAAUCUUUUUUCUUUUCAGUAUUAGAAAUAGAAGGAAAGUAGUGGGAAUUAUAAUUGGAAGAGGGGUAUUUAGAUAGCUUAUCAUGGGUCGAGUUAAUAACGGGUUCUGAGGGAGAAAAUGGGCCUAACUCAUCAUGGCCUAAGGUGAGAGUACGAAUAGUUGGAGGGGUUGGGCCCAAGGAAAGGCUAGGCUUGAGGUUUAAGCCCAGGGGAGAAGAAGGGGGGAGUUUAUUGAGAUUAUAAUCUAGGCCAUGAGUGUUAACAUUAGUAGAAGAGGCGAGUUGGCCCAAUUGACACUGAAGCAAUCCAGUAACAUUGAUGACCCGAGAAGGCCCAACUGAGUUUGGGAGCCCUAACUGGGGAGUAUUGUCGACGUUCAUGGAUGCCACCGCUUCAAGGGAGAGAGAGUUAGGGGACUUACCUGGAGCAGGGAUAGGGGCGUCAUUACCUCGAUCUUGGCGUAUCCGAUGGAGAGACAAAUCAGAAGGCUUCUUACCAAAUCGCUUUCGAAAGGAUAUAGUCUUCCACUCUUUGCAUGGAUCAACUACCAAAGCUGGAGAAUCUUCAGAUAUCGUGGAGGAGGAAGUUGCCAGGACCGGAUGAGGACGUUUCUCAGGGCAAGAAAUGGCGAUAUGUCCUAAACACCCAUAAUUUUUACACAGGAUUCUCUUGCCUUUAUACAGAAGUUGUUGUUUGUGGUCUCCGAUAGUGAUCGAAGUCUUAACCGGCUUACCCAAUUCAAUUUGUACGCAAAUUCGUGCUUAUCAACCUCAAAUUGUAGAGGAUGUGCAAGCGUCUACCUUAAGAAGGACCCCGAUUUUCCAGCCAAUUCGUUCAAGAAUGGAUUGGUUAUAAAAUUCUGUGGGUAAUUGGGGUAGGCGAACCCAGAUCACAGUGAAGUCUAUCUUGGAAGUGCUCAGUACGAAAUUAGGCUCCCAUUUUCUAACUGAGAUAAAACUGCCAGCGAUAAACCAUGAACCCCGUUACAAGGCGAUUUCCUGGCUGUCUUUGCUCUUGAAUUUAGCGGUGAAGAAUCCAUAACCCAGAUCAAUUAGGCAAAGCGGUUCAGAGAGAUGCCACAAAGCAUCUAAUUUGGUUUUUAGAUAUUGGUGAGUAAGCUUAUCCCCAAAAACCUUUAGGAUAACGGAGAAUUGUCAUGGUGAUUUAGAUUCUGAGUUUCUCAUCAAGGGUGAGGUUAGUCAAAUCCCCUUCAAAGUCAGAUAAGCCAACAUCAAAAUCAAUGGGAGUCAUAGGUUGGUCAAAGGACAGAACGGUAUUGGAGGUGAUGUCUUUGUAAGAGGGUUUGGUUGCCAUUAUAGGUGCGGUGGAAAGUGCGUAGGAGGUCCGUAAAGGGAAGAGAAGAGUUGAAGUUAGAGAAGGGCGAGACCGUCUCUCACUAACCUAUUUCUCCCGUUCGCUCUAAUACAAAGUGAUAAAUAAAAUAGCUAUAAGUUAACUGAUAUAUCAAUACAAAGUGAAUUGAUUCACUAAACAAUUAUUAUGUCUGAUAAUUAAAGCUGAAAUUAUCUCUAUUUCUCAAAUUUUCCCACUCAGGGGCAUUUGGUUCACCAAAAAUGUAACUAAUAUUUGGUUUACGAAAAAAGUAAUCAUUUCUUUUUUAG
Capsicum annuum is the source of this 8775-nucleotide RNA transcript. It is a transcript of the gene named protein GDAP2 homolog, with no coding region annotated. The record is from RefSeq and is a predicted model, not a curated record. NCBI's taxonomy places the organism in Eukaryota, Viridiplantae, Streptophyta, Magnoliopsida, Solanales, Solanaceae. The transcript has 16 exons.